UUUGUGAUUUUUUUUUUUGCGUUAUUGUCACUGAAAUGUUAUCAUCAAACAGGAAAUAUUGAUCAAAGACAACAGAGGUAAACACAAAUCCCGUUUUUAAUUUUUUAUUAUUAGGGAGAAAAAAAUCAAACCUACAUGGACCUGUGUGAAAAAGUGAUUGCCCCUAAACCAAGUAACUGGUUAGGCCAGACAUGGCAGCAACAAAUGCAAUCAAGCAUUUGCAAUAACUUGCAAUGAGUCUCUUACAAUGCUGUGGAGGAAAUUUGGCCCAAAGAGGUGUUGUAAUACAGCCACACUUCAGGAUUUUUGAGCAUGAUCCUUUGGAGGGUCAAGGCGCAGGAUUCUAGUCGGAACUUUAAUAAGGCCACUCCAAAGUUCAUUUUGUUUUUCUUUAGCCGUUCAUCCAGGCUGGUGUGUUUUGGACCAUUGUCCAGCUGCUGAACCUGUUUGUUUCAAGUCGAAGCACCAGGAGAUUACCGAGGAAUCUGGCUGGCCUGCAUUGCGGGCCAUCUCAACACCAGCAGGUGGUUAAGCAAGGUGUGCAUGUAAAUGGUGCAUUCCUAGGCAAACAACAGAAGAGAGUUUUUGUUGCCAUGAGAGUCAAUUUAUUCACCAGAAAAUGUCAGAUUAUCCAGACCAACUACAGUGCAUGACGGAGCACCCAGGAUUUAUUGACAGUCUUAACCCGUGGAUACUGGAGGUUGCCUACUUACAAUUCCAGGGUCACGGGAGUCCUGGAGCCUAUCCCAGCUGUCAUCAAGCACAAGGAAAUGGAGAUCCCGACUGGACAUCCCGGAGAAAACGCACACAGGCACGGGGAGAACAUGCAAACUCUACACAGGUGGACUGGGAUUGAACCGGAGUCCUCAUAACUUUAGCUUUACAGCUGCUCCUCCGUGUCACCCUACUAAAAGCAGCAUUUGUCCAAUCAAUGCUUGUUCAAACAAAGUCCCAUUCUGGAAAAUUGUCAUUUUCUUAUUUUCAGGUUAAUGCGACAUACAUCUUAUAAACAGCUUGUCAGAUGGUGUUGAUAAAUUUUUGGCAGAAAUAUUCGCAUGCCACUUCCCUCCUGCUGUGUGUCAAAGAUUCAUGACACCUUUCCUGGUUCAGAGGGCUAAGA
This is a long non-coding RNA of Syngnathoides biaculeatus (alligator pipefish), 1120 nucleotides long. RefSeq lists it as uncharacterized. The record is from RefSeq and is a predicted model, not a curated record. The transcript has 3 exons. Lineage: Eukaryota; Metazoa; Chordata; Actinopteri; Syngnathiformes; Syngnathidae.